CUGGCAGUAAACGGUGCACGCUUGGUGUGGGAGGGUUCGACCCCUUCUGUGCCGGAGCUAACGCGUUAAGCGUGCCGCCUGGGGAGUACGGUCGCAAGAUUAAAACUCAAAGAAAUUGAC
Molecule: ribosomal RNA, 120 nt
Filed under: uncultured bacterium
Lineage: Bacteria
Description: partial 16S ribosomal RNA
Rfam family: Bacterial small subunit ribosomal RNA
Source: RNAcentral